AGGGGGUCUGGGUGGGCAUUUUUAACUUCGGAGGCCACCCAUCUGUUGGUUGGCCAUCUGCAUUUUCUUACUGUUGUUUCCUGCCCAGAGGACACACUUGGGGUGUGCGGAGUGCCGCCCACUGCUUGGGACCCUGAGGAUCACCUUGCAACCCCCAUAACGCCCUGCUUCCCACAGGUUUUUAGCGUUCUAUCGUCCUGUUGUGCAUCACCCCAAUAUCCCAGACCUGUUACCCAUUCCCCUUUCUCUACUCCUAGCUCAUCAGCACCAGUCGCUGUCUCUUCUCUGUGAUUUCUGUAAAAGUUGCCAUAAAAAUUUGAAAUUCUGCCUGAAAAACAGCCUUCCCGUGAGAAGUUGGGAUUCUAGAGGAGGGAGUUAACGAAGUCUCUGACUGAGACUUGGGCAACUGUGGAAUAGACCAGGUACUCUGGGUUUUUCCAUGCCCCCGGUCCUCUGCAGGACACCCACAUGCACCAGCCACACUGGAAGUCCACACUUGCUUCCCGUAGCCACUCCCCCAUUCGCCACCCCAUUUUCCCUAGCCACGCCCCCCACGCGUCACCCGGGAGCUUUCCUAGCCACGCCUCCAUUCCACCAGCCACAAACUAUUCCUUUUCACUGGGCUUCCUGGGAACACAAAAGGGGAAGACCCAGAUUUGCCUGAUCAGAGAAGCUGGGGCUGAUGGGAGUUUCCUGAAUAAAGCAAGUGAUUUUCUCAGAAUCCUGAAAUAGAAGGAGGGGUGUGUGUGUGUGUGCGUGCCAGUAGGUGCGCGCUCUUCUCCAGGAAAAGGGCACAGACUACGUAAAGGUGUGCAGACUUGCGAGUUACUGGCUUUUUCACACUCCUGCCAGCGGUUAGCAUGAAUGGAGCAUGGGUUGCAUGGGGGUGGGGAGUGGAGAGAACUCAAGAGACUUUAACAGCCCACUCUAAGGAGUUGAGAAUUUAUCUCAAAAGCAAAGAGGAGCUUUGGAAGGGUUUUAAAGAGGGGAGGGAGGCGAAGGGCAAGCAGUUGAUGUCUGAUUCACAUUUUCAAACUUUCCUUCUGGCUGCCUGUGAGAUUGGAGGCUCUCGGAGAUCAGGGAGGAGGCUGGGGCAGCAGAGGAGGUGUCCUGGGGUAGGGAGGUGGAGGUUGGAGGGGUUAUAGCAAGAAGGGGAUGGUUUGGAAGAUAAUGGAUCAGGCCAGAUGAGGGGUUUUGGAAAGAGCGUGCAGGCGGGGCCCUGACAAGAAAGAAGUGGUGCACUCUAGUGGAGUAGUACAUAAAGUAGCACCUUAGUGAAAGGGCUAUUAAGGGAUUAGGGGGUGGACAAGGUCAAGGAAAACAAGCCCAGGAAAGGCGCAGCACCGCGGGGCCGGCAGUAGAGGGAGCAGUUACCACCUCCCAUACCCGCACUUGAAGGUGUGAGAAGACCUGAAGCUGCUGAGACUUGGAGCUGUAGCUGCAGGGAAGGCCAGGGGCAUGGGCGCCCAGGACCCACACUCAAGAGAGAAGGGGGCUGGAGAGUGAACACCCCAACUGACUCUCCUUCCGCUCAUCAGUCUCCUGUGGGUGUCUCCCAUGGGCUGAACUCAACCAGAAGCCGGAGGUUAACGGUUCAAGGCAUAGGUCAGCCUCUUGGGACACAGCAUGACAGAGAAGAGUGGAGAGUGGAUCUGGGAAAUUGAGCAGUGAGGUCUCUCCCUGGUUUGGGAGUGAACGUGGAGACAAGUAUGGGGAAUGGCUUUGGAGAACAGGCUGGCUUCAGGGUGAACAAAGACAGUGCUGCAGAGGCAAGGAAAUGAGUGAACCUGGCUGCAGGAAAAUGAGUAAGAUCUCAGCUUCAAAGAGAAACAUGUCCAGAGCUCGGGACGUGGAUGAGAUGAAGACCACCCUACCCCAAAACCAUGAUCCUUCCCUGGGUGCUAGGAGUCAGCUUGGGAGUGGUUGAAAUUACUUGUCAUGGCAGGAGGCAAUAGCACAACGAUUUCCUCUCUUAGGACCUCCGUUCCCUCAUCUGGAAAAUGGGGUCAAGGACAAUAAUAAUGAGGACAAAUGGUGCAGGACUGUAAUAAGUUAUAUAUAUUUUUAGAAUAACCCUUAGCACAUAGUAAGAGCUCAAUAGGUGGGAAAGUUGUCCCUUUGAGAUAUUUCCAGCUUGCUCACUUUUAUAGUUCAUAUUUUCUCUCUCCCUCCCCUGCCCACUUGCACAUGGGCACACACGCCCCACAAUGGCCAUCCUAGAAAAGCCUCAGAAGGAACGAGAAAUGCAGACUCCCUGUAAACCUGCUUUGCCAUCUGAGUCUCGGUUGCUAAAUCCCAAACCCAGGGGAGAAGAAAUGGGGAAUAUCCCUCCUCUCUCUGUGGCCACCAGACUCUUUCAUUCACUUUAUCCAGCCUGUGCCUGCUCUGUGCCUGGCAUUAUGUUGGGGCCUGCGGUGACCAAAGUAUCCCUGGGCCCCGCUCUCACCUGGUUCACCGAGCAGUGGGGGACACAUGCGAAACAUGGUGCAAGAGGGGGUGGUCAGGCUAGGAUCUGUGAAUGGAAAGACUCUGUAGCAGGACACAGGUGGUGGUGAACUAGGGGACUGGAGCUGGUAUAAACAAGCAGGGUGCAGGGGAAUGGACAAGGAGAAGGAUGGUGCAGGAGUCUGGGGCUAGCAGAGGGGACAGCUAGUAUUGCCCGGAGCCUGGCAAGGUGGGGAUGGGGUGAGGAGUGGACAGUGACUUCCAGAAGCUGGAAAGGAUGGCCACAUGGAAAGGCAAUCCCACAAGAGCUGUGGCAUCCAAUCAUCCCACACGUAGGGGGUGAGGGUGGGGGGCAGUGGGAGGUGCAGGGGCGAAUGCCUGACCUCACGCUCCUGGGGCAGGGCUCUACAGGAAUCCAUAGGACAGAGAGCCCGCGGAUGCAUUCCAUUAGGCCACACUGUGGUAGGCUGAAUAAUGCCCCCCCCCCCAGUAGGUCCACUUGCUAAUCCUCAGAACUUGUGAUAUGUUCCUUGACACAGCCAGAGGGACUUCACAAAUGUGGGUAAGCUCAACAUAUUGCGAGGCAGACACUACAUUCGAUUACCUGCGUGGUUCCUAAGUACAACCAGGAGGGUCUCCAGAAGAGUGGGGUGGUGGUGACCGCAGGAGGACAUGGGACAGGGGAAGCAGAGGUAGGCAUUGCCAGGGAAGCGCCACAAGCCAAGGAGCACAGGCGCCUCUGGAAAAUGGAGAAGGCAAGGGAAGACUUCUCCCCUAGAGCCUCCGGAAUGAGCGGCCAUCACCUCGAUUCUGGACUUCUGGCCUCUGGAACUCUAAUGCACGUAUGUUGUUUGAAGCCCCUAAACUUAGGGUGAUGUGUUACAGCAGCAACACGAAAGGAAUACAGAGACUUACCGAAGCCACCUAAUGCCAACUCCGAUCUCUCUGGACCUCAGUAACAUCAGCAUGUAGUGGAAACUUCUUGUGUCUCUGGCUACUAAAUGCACUCACUACAUGUGGGGAUGUUUCCAGCCUUGAGAGUUCAUGUCCUCCAGAUAGAAGCUCUGGAUCUCACCUUCCCAGCCUCCUUUACAGCUGAGACAUGGACACAGGACUUAGAUCCCAUUCAAACAGACUCCCCAGCAGGAGCCCUGAAUUCCAAAGGAGCGCCUUGCCCAAGGAGGCUCCCUAGGUGACCCAUGCAGCUGGUGGGAAUGAUGUGACACAGGCACCCUCUUACGUUGGGAGGGCUUGGUGGUUGCAAGAAGGAGCACAGACACAGAAGUGGCAUUGGUGCUAGGAGCAGGUGCAGUCAUGUCACGGUUCUGGCAGCAGUGCAAACUGGGACACCCAAGACUCAGACACGCCGGUGGCUGUGGAGGUGGUUUCCUUGUCAGAAACGUUUGAGGAAGCAUGCGCAAUUGUUGCUGACAAACUGUGCCAUCAGAAUAGGGGUGACGGAUGAAGUUGACACCGACAUCAAUGCCAGAGGGUCCUGGACCCUUUGUGUUGUCACCUGUUCCAAGAUCAAGGUCCCCAGCAGGACCGGAUCCCGACUCUCUUACUCUCCCCGAACCCAAAACCUACAGUUCCUCAGCCUCAUCUCCCCAAGCCAUUCCCCAAGUCCUUAGCCUGUUUCCCCCAAAUCAAUCUUCUGCCUAAGACCCCGCCCCCCAACUCCCCGGUGUCCCGGUGUCCCACUCCUCAACCACCUUUCCCUGACCCUCCAAGCUCCCUGUCCGGGAUAUCUGUUGCUGUGGAACAAAGCACCCCAAGACUUCGUGACUGAAAGUGACGGGUUCCUAUCCUCUCCUGUGGUUCUGUCGCUGGCUUGGCGUGGGCUCUAUGGGUUGACUUGGGCCGUCUCUGCUUGGGGUCUGUCCCGUGUCCGCAGGCAGCGAUCUGAAGACUCAGCUGGGCAGGUGUCACAAGUAACACGCUUAUGGGGUUGAUGGCGGCGUGUGAGCACCGGGCCGAGAGAUCUGAGGACACUGGCCUUCAAGACUGGAGUCCCUCGGACAACGCCAGAACCUCCGGAAGCUGGAAGAGGCAACGAACGGGUUCUCCCCUCCAGCCUCCAGAGGGAACGCAGCCCUGCCGACACCUUGAUUUUGUCUCAGAGACUGAUUUUGGAAUGUUGGCUUCCAGAACUGUGACAGGAUAAAUCUGUGUUUUAAGCCUCUGAGCUGGUCCUAAUUUGUUACAGCAACUGCAAGAAGUUAAAGGUGACUGAUACGCUUCCUUUAGAGCUGACUCACCACGGCCUCUUGUCUCUUAUUUUCUGGGUAUCACUACAUCCUGAACCUACCUACCUUCUUUCUUUCUUUCUUUCUUUCUUUCUUUCUUUCUUUCUUUCUUUCUUUCUUUCUUUCUUUCUGAUUUAUUUAUUUACUCAUGAGAGGCACAGACUGAGAAAGAGGCAGAGAC
Molecule: long non-coding RNA, 4872 nt
Organism: Canis lupus familiaris (dog)
Lineage: Eukaryota; Metazoa; Chordata; Mammalia; Carnivora; Canidae
Exons: 3
Source: RefSeq, a predicted model, not a curated record